AUACGGAGGGUGCAAGCGUUGUUCGGAAUCACUGGGCGUAAAGGGCGCGCAGGCGGUUUUACAAGUCAGAUGUGAAAGCCCACGGCUCAACCGUGGAAGUGCAUUUGAAACUGUAAGACUUGAGUAUCAGAGGGGAAGGUGGAAUUCCCGGUGUAGAGGUGAAAUUCGUAGAUAUCGGGAGGAAUACCGGUGGCGAAGGCGACUUUCUGGCUGAAUACUGACGCUGAGGCGCGAAAGCGUGGGGAGCAAACAGGAUUAGAUACCCCAGUAGUCC
Molecule: ribosomal RNA, 274 nt
Filed under: uncultured bacterium
Lineage: Bacteria
Description: partial 16S ribosomal RNA
Rfam family: Bacterial small subunit ribosomal RNA
Source: RNAcentral